Molecule: ribosomal RNA, 518 nt
Filed under: uncultured bacterium
Lineage: Bacteria
Description: bacterial SSU rRNA
Rfam family: Bacterial small subunit ribosomal RNA
Source: RNAcentral
AGUUGAUCCUGGCUCAGAACGAACGCUGGCGGCGCGUCUUAAGCAUGCAAGUCGAACGGCAAGAGGUAGCAAUACCUCCUAGAGUGGCGGACUGGUGAGUAACACGUGGGUGACAUACCCUUCAGAUGGGGAUAGCUAUUAGAAAUAGUAGAUAAUACCGAAUACGAGCACAGGGGUUAGAGAUCUGUGAGGAAAGGAGCUAAGGCUCCGCUGAAGGAAUGGCCUGCGGCCCAUUAGCUAGUUGGUGAGGUAAGAGCCCACCAAGGCGAUGAUGGGUAUCCGGCCUUAGAGGGUGAACGGACACAUUGGGACUGAGAUAUGGCCCAGACUCCUACGGGAGGCAGCAGCUAAGAAUAUUCCGCAAUGGACGAAAGUCUGACGGAGCGACGCCGCGUGGAUGAAGAAGGCCGGAAGGUUGUAAAAUCCUUUUGAAACUGAAGAAUAAGCGUUGUAGGGAAUGACAGCGUGGUGACAGUAGGUUUUGAAUAAGCAACGGCUAAUUACGUGCCAGCAGCCGC